AAUUAUCUUUAUUACUAUCAUUUUGUUUGAAAUUUUUAAAAUUUUUAUUAUUAAAGUAACAAAAUAUCCCAUGCAAAGCGUGGAGUACCAUCUUGUUAUAUGAUAACACAACCUACAAGAGGUAAUUACUAAAGAUCAACUUGUUCCAAUUUCAUCACUGACUAUUUUUUUAAUACAAUUUGGCAACGUUGCCAUCAAGAACAUUCAGUGAGUUAUGCCACCAAUUCUCAUUAUGAAUUGCUAUGUAUACGUGUUUUAUUGCCUAUUCGGUGUAAUAAUCAAGUCACUCCACUUGGAGAUUAUGGAUUUGAACCAUGGAAACGGCCCAUCUGCAAACUAAGGGUGAGGCUACAUGCAUCACCCCUCUCCAGAACCCACAAGUGUGGGAUACUUCAUGUCACUCUUUUUUUAUGAAUCGAUUCAAUGAAUUUUCUUGAAUUUGCGGUUAGAUAAUUUGUCAGAAUGUUUGCAAUUCUGUCCACAGUGACCAAAUUGUAAACAAAAUGGAAGUUGAGCGAAUUGAUCUUUUGUAACUUGAAAUUAAGCCUAAACUUCAGUCACAAACAAUAGAAUUCAUGCAUGCCAAAAGUGGCAUAAUGCUUAACCUUUUGGGUAACUUAUAUCAUAGAUAAACCAGAUUUUAUCCAAAUUGUGAUUCAUCCAUCAAACAAUAAACAAAAGUAUAUCUUAUUUUCUAGAUGGCAAGAGCUGAUAAACAUGAAAGUAUGUAAACCCGGCACAGUAAUCCCCCAUCAUUCUAGUAUGAAUAGAAAUAACGGCUGAUUUAAUUAAGUUUUGUAGUUAACCUAAUUAAGCACAAUCAAUGCAACAAAAGGUAUACGAGUGAGAAUUCCAUUCCGAAAGCAACACAAUUUUCAAUCAUGACUCACUAUACUUCACUGUCUAUUUUGCAACAAACUUUCAUGAUCAUUGAAGGUUUUUGUUUAUCACCAUGGAUUAUUCAAUUGGAAAAUUUGAAGAUAAUUUUUUUUGGAAGACUUUCCUUUAAAAGUGAGCGCAUGAAUGCAGUCCAAUGCUUUUGAUUUGUGGCAGUCUGUAGAAGUAUUAAACGCGCUGAAACGUGAAUGGCCCCAUUGAUCAGGAGUCCAUCCAGUCUCCCUCAAGCCAGGAAUAUCCUCAACUUUAACGAUCUUUUUAGGAAUACCAGCUUCUUUCUUCUGAAAAUCAAAACCAGUGUAAACAAUGUGACAAUUAGAUAGCUCUCUAAUCUUUUCAUCAAUUGCCUGCCUUUGGCGACGAAUCAUGGUAGAUAAAUCGGUGUAUGGGAGUUUUGGAUCAAUUCUGCACUCCAUAAGAAUACCUCCAUCACAGUCUUUAAUAUACCCUUGCCAUCGAUCCUUGUCCAAGUAAAUCUCUUUGGUAAAACCCUGUUUGAUGAAAUAACCAACAGCAUUAUUAUCAGCAUAUGUCAGAAAAUGUGUUAGCCCAUCAAUAUCACGUGCAUACUGCUUCAAAUGAUUCAUCAAUCUUGUACCAUAACCUUUUACUUGUUCAUCCGCUGUGAUUGCACAAAAAGCUAUCUCCCCAAACUUUUGGCUGACAUAUGGACGAUAUGUGAUGCCACCAACAACCUGAUUGCGUCUGAUAACCAUUACAGAUUUAUGGCUUCUUCCCACAAUAACGCUUGAAAGUUUGUGAUUCAAGAACACGAAAAUAAGUUCAUUUUAUGAUACAAACAUAAGUUAUCAACCACAGAUCUCCAAUGUGUGGCCACAGCAACACAAGCAGAAUACUUAUGAGCAAUUAUCUAUAGCUUGGUCUGCAGGUUUGUGGUUUGAGAAGAUUCAAAUUUCCAUUACUGUAUGUUAUCUCAACAAAACCAGUUUUGCUGCUCAUCAUUGCCACAGGUUGUAGGGUAUAGGCUUUCACCCUUGACUGGGAGCUUUCUCAGCUAUCCAUCACAAGACGGACAAUAUACUCCUUGGGCAUGUUGGGCAAUUGCCUAGCAAAUAUGUUCUUCAAUCCUAUCAACCAAAUCAUAUGUUCAUCAAUGCCAUCAUUUGAAAGACAUAGAAACUUGAGUCUUCCGGCUUCCUCCUCUCUCUUCAAACUUUCUUCUCUAGCGCUAUAAGCUCCACUAGUUUGCAAAUUUUCGGUAAAAAUCUUUACCGCGUCCUCCUUCGUCACUAUCCCUGCUACGGAGCCGCCCGCGGUGGUAGACCCCACGGCACUAGUCCCCGUAGGUCCACCAUCCUUCCCGCCAUCCGACUUUUCAAUCUUUACCGUCGAAUUUUCCAUCUUCAGCUUCGUGUUGCGUGCCGAGGGCCCGCCUCCUCCACCUGAACCAGCGCCGGUAGCCGAGGCUCCAGGCAUUAGUCUCCAGACGGGCAACGGUGAAUGUGCGCAUUGAGGAGUCAUUGUCGAACUCGUCUUCAUCAUCGUCAACGACGGCGUCUGAAUCCUCAACGUCGGAGUCAGAAUCAGCGCCACGGGCCGAGAUGCUCUCUAGGUCGUCGUUGGACGUCAGUGCACCGUCUCGCGUGUCAUCGGAGAAAGAUGACGGAGGAAAUGGAGGGGCGUGGUCUUCAGAGACUACCGAGGCAGCUGCAGCCAGCUUGCGCUAAUGAAUAGACGAAGUGGCGGAGGCCAAAGCAGAGUGGGAGGGCGACGGCGACUGGGAGCUGCGAGAGCGAUUGGGUACGUUUGGGUGAGAGUGAGAAUCCAUAGACUCGAAUUGAGUUGACUCGGCUGAGAAUUUGGGAAAUUGACGAGUUAGGGUUUUGGAGAUGGAUUCCAGAGCACAGAGAACGAUUACGAGAGGGCAGUGAAGUGAUCGAUGUCGUUGUUACAGUUGGCUGGAGCAUGUUCUUUGUGAC
RNAcentral lists this unclassified non-coding RNA (2837 nucleotides) under Hevea brasiliensis (rubber tree). The record is from RNAcentral. Lineage: Eukaryota; Viridiplantae; Streptophyta; Magnoliopsida; Malpighiales; Euphorbiaceae.